GUCUAUAUAGCUCAGUUGGAUAGAGCACUUUCCUCCGAAGAAAGAGGUCAUCAGUUCGAUUCUGAUUAUAGGCACCA
RNAcentral lists this transfer RNA (77 nucleotides) under Bacilli bacterium. Its description in RNAcentral is "tRNA-Arg". It matches the Rfam family "tRNA". Rfam says of the family: Transfer RNA (tRNA) molecules are approximately 80 nucleotides in length. The record is from RNAcentral. Lineage: Bacteria; Bacillati; Bacillota; Bacilli.